AUAUUUGUCUGCAGAAAUCAGCUUCUGGACAGUGGUGAUGUUGGGCGCUUUAAGGAGAAAAGUUGCGACCGGAGGUUCAUCAGCUUCAGUAUUAGGGAAGUCCUUGCAGGUGAUUCGGCCGAGCGUUUCAGCAUCUAGAGUGUCUUCAAAUGUUGGAAAAGAGAUUAUGUUACUU
Molecule: long non-coding RNA, 175 nt
Organism: Hibiscus syriacus
Lineage: Eukaryota; Viridiplantae; Streptophyta; Magnoliopsida; Malvales; Malvaceae
Exons: 4
Source: RefSeq, a predicted model, not a curated record